GCUGGAGUAGCUCAGUUGGUUAGAGUGUAUGUCUCUUAACCAGAAGGUCGAAGGUUUCGGUCCUUUCUCUAGCG
This 74-nucleotide transfer RNA is filed under the name Morus notabilis. It matches the Rfam family "tRNA". From Rfam's summary of the family: Transfer RNA (tRNA) molecules are approximately 80 nucleotides in length. Their secondary structure includes four short double-helical elements and three loops (D, anti-codon, and T loops). Lineage: Eukaryota; Viridiplantae; Streptophyta; Magnoliopsida; Rosales; Moraceae. The record is from Rfam by way of RNAcentral.